AGAUAUUUUACUAAAGGAAGAAUUGUGUUUUGACUCUCCGGCCAACUCAAUUCAAUGGUGAACAGCAUGGGCUUGAUGGCCUUGACCCAAUUUAACCCACAGUUUUUUUGUCAAAUUCAUCCCUCAUCGGAAACCAGAUACAAACACAACCUGGAAGAUUGUAAUUACGAACAAAAAUCCAAACACCGAAUGGCUACUGCCUUCCACGUUUCCCUUCAUGCACCCAUAGUUC
Molecule: long non-coding RNA, 232 nt
Filed under: Gossypium barbadense (sea-island cotton)
Lineage: Eukaryota; Viridiplantae; Streptophyta; Magnoliopsida; Malvales; Malvaceae
Description: long non-coding RNA (GBAR_LNC018142)
Source: RNAcentral